UACGUAGGGGGCAAGCGUUGUCCGGAAUCAUUGGGCGUAAAGCGCGUUAAGGCGGUUGGCAAAGUUGGUUGUGAAAUCUCAGGGCUCAACCCUGAAAUUGCGACCAAUACUGGUCGACUAGAGUGUGAGAGAGGAAGGUGGAAUUCCCGGUGUAGUAGUGAAAUGCGUAGAUAUCGGGAGGAACACCAGUGGCGAAGGCGGCCUUCUGGCUCAUAACUGACGCUGUAGCGCGAAAGCGUGGGGAGCGAACCGG
Molecule: ribosomal RNA, 253 nt
Filed under: uncultured bacterium
Lineage: Bacteria
Description: partial 16S ribosomal RNA
Rfam family: Bacterial small subunit ribosomal RNA
Source: RNAcentral